UUUAUGGAGAGUUUGAUCCUGGCUCAGGAUGAACGCUGGCGGCGUGCCUAAUACAUGCAAGUCGAGCGAACGGACGAGAAGCUUGCUUCUCUGAUGUUAGCGGCGGACGGGUGAGUAACACGUGGAUAACCUACCUAUAAGACUGGGAUAACUUCGGGAAACCGGAGCUAAUACCGGAUAAUAUUUCGAACCGCAUGGUUCAAAAGUGAAAGACGGUCUUGCUGUCACUUAUAGAUGGAUUCGCGCUGCAUUAGCUAGUUGGUAAGGUAACGGCUUACCAAGGCAACGAUGCAUAGCCGACCUGAGAGGGUGAUCGGCCACACUGGAACUGAGACACGGUCCAGACUCCUACGGGAGGCAGCAGUAGGGAAUCUUCCGCAAUGGGCGAAAGCCUGACGGAGCAACGCCGCGUGAGUGAUGAAGGUCUUCGGAUCGUAAAACUCUGUUA
RNAcentral lists this ribosomal RNA (448 nucleotides) under Staphylococcus aureus. Its description in RNAcentral is "bacterial SSU rRNA". It matches the Rfam family "Bacterial small subunit ribosomal RNA", at positions 1 to 438 of the family's 1533-position model. The record is from RNAcentral. Lineage: Bacteria; Bacillati; Bacillota; Bacilli; Caryophanales; Staphylococcaceae.